RNAcentral lists this ribosomal RNA (713 nucleotides) under uncultured bacterium. RNAcentral describes it as "bacterial SSU rRNA". It matches the Rfam family "Bacterial small subunit ribosomal RNA", at positions 169 to 883 of the family's 1533-position model. The record is from RNAcentral.
CCCGGCGGUCUCGGACGGCCGCAUGACUGUCCGAGUGAAGAUUUAUCGGUAUGAGAUGGCGAUGCGUCCCAUUAGCUUGUUGGUGAGGUAAUGGCUCACCAAGGCAUCGAUGGGUAGGGGUUCUGAGAGGAAGGUCCCCCACAUUGGAACUGAGACACGGUCCAAACUCCUACGGGAGGCAGCAGUGAGGAAUAUUGGUCAAUGGACGAAAGUCUGAACCAGCCAAGUAGCGUGCAGGAUGACGGCCCUCUGGGUUGUAAACUGCUUUUAGUUGGGAAUAAAAAGAGGGACGUGUCCCUUAUUGUAUGUACCAUCAGAAAAAGGACCGGCUAAUUCCGUGCCAGCAGCCGCGGUAAUACGGAAGGUCCAGGCGUUAUCCGGAUUUAUUGGGUUUAAAGGGAGCGCAGGCGGCGGCGUAAGUCAGUUGUGAAAUCGUGCGGCUUAACCGUGCAAUUGCAGUUGAUACUGCGUCGCUUGAGUGCACACAGGGAUGUUGGAAUUCAUGGUGUAGCGGUGAAAUGCUUAGAUAUCAUGAAGAACUCCGAUCGCGAAGGCAUAUGUCCGGAGUGCAACUGACGCUGAGGCUCGAAAGUGUGGGUAUCAAACAGGAUUAGAUACCCUGGUAGUCCACACAGUAAACGAUGAAUACUCGCGGUUGGUUCGUUAGAAUCAGCCGCCAAGCGAAGGCGUUAAGUAUUCCACCUGGGGAGUAC